RNAcentral lists this ribosomal RNA (48 nucleotides) under Reichenbachiella agariperforans. The record is from RNAcentral. Lineage: Bacteria; Pseudomonadati; Bacteroidota; Cytophagia; Cytophagales; Reichenbachiellaceae.
UAUGGUGACUAUUGCGAGGGUGUCCACCUCUUCCCAUUCCGAACAGAG